RNAcentral lists this ribosomal RNA (1373 nucleotides) under uncultured bacterium. Its description in RNAcentral is "16S ribosomal RNA". It matches the Rfam family "Bacterial small subunit ribosomal RNA". The record is from RNAcentral.
AGAGUUUGAUCCUGGCUCAGGAUGAACGCUGGCGGCGUGCCUAAUACAUGCAAGUCGAACGAAUUACCUUCGGGUAGUUAGUGGCGAACGGGUGAGUAAUACGUAAGCAACCUGCCUAUGGGACUGGGAUAACGUUUGGAAACGGACGCUAAUACCGGAUAGGUGGUUGGAGGGCAUCUUCUGAUCAUUAAAGUUUAGAGACACCGAUAGAUGGGCUUACGGCGCAUUAGCUAGUUGGUGAGGUAACGGCUCACCAAGGCGAUGAUGCGUAGCCGGACUGAGAGGUUGAACGGCCACAUUGGGACUGAGACACGGCCCAAACUCCUACGGGAGGCAGCAGUAGGGAAUUUUCGGCAAUGGGGGAAACCCUGACCGAGCAACGCCGCGUGAGUGAAGACGGCCUUCGGGUUGUAAAGCUCUGUUGUAAAGGAAGAACGGCAUGGACAGAAUCCAUGAGUGACGGUACUUUACCAGAAAGCCACGGCUAACUACGUGCCAGCAGCCGCGGUAAUACGUAGGUGGCGAGCGUUAUCCGGAAUUAUUGGGCGUAAAGGGUGCGCAGGCGGUUGAUUAAGUUUAAGGUGAAAGCGUGGGGCUCAACCCCAUACAGCCUUAGAAACUGGUCUGACUAGAGUGCAGGAGAGGUUAGUGGAAUUCCAUGUGUAGCGGUAAAAUGCGUAGAUAUAUGGAGGAACACCAGUGGCGAAGGCGGCUAACUGGCCUGUAACUGACGCUGAGGCACGAAAGCGUGGGGAGCAAAUAGGAUUAGAUACCCUAGUAGUCCACGCCGUAAACGAUGGAUACUAAGUGUUGGGAAACUCAGUGCUGCAGUUAACGCAAUAAGUAUUCCGCCUGGGGAGUAUGCACGCAAGUGUGAAACUCAAAGGAAUUGACGGGGACCCGCACAAGCGGUGGAUUAUGUGGUUUAAUUCGACGCAACGCGAAGAACCUUACCAAGCCUUGACAUCCCGAGCAAAUCUAUAGAGAUAUAGAGGAGGUUAUCUCGGAGACAGGUGGUGCAUGGUUGUCGUCAGCUCGUGUCGUGAGAUGUUGGGUUAAGUCCCGCAACGAGCGCAACCCUUGUCUUUAGUUACCAGCAUUAAGUUGGGGACUCUAGAGAGACUGCCGGUGACAAACCGGAGGAAGGUGGGGAUGACGUCAAAUCAGCAUGCCCCUUAUGGCUUGGGCUACACACGUAAUACAAUGGCGGUAAACAAAAGGGAGCGAAGAGGUGACUCGGAGCAAAUCCCCAAAAGCCGUCUCAGUUCAGAUUGCAGGCUGCAACUCGCCUGCAUGAAGUCGGAAUUGCUAGUAAUCGUGAAUCAGCAUGUCACGGUGAAUACGUUCCCGGGCCUUGUACACACCGCCCGUCA